CGCUGAGUUUGAUCCUGGCUCAGAGCGAACGCUGGCGGCAGGCCUAACACAUGCAAGUCGAACGAACUCUUCGGAGUUAGUGGCGGACGGGUGAGUAACACGUGGGAACGUGCCUUUAGGUUCGGAAUAACUCAGGGAAACUUGUGCUAAUACCGAAUGUGCCCUUCGGGGGAAAGAUUUAUCGCCUUUAGAGCGGCCCGCGUCUGAUUAGCUAGUUGGUGAGGUAAACGGCUCACCGAAGGCGACCGAUCAGUAGCUGGUCUGAGAGGACUGACC
This 276-nucleotide ribosomal RNA is filed under the name uncultured Brevundimonas sp. RNAcentral's name for it is "partial 16S ribosomal RNA". It matches the Rfam family "Bacterial small subunit ribosomal RNA", at positions 1 to 305 of the family's 1533-position model. The record is from RNAcentral. Lineage: Bacteria; Pseudomonadati; Pseudomonadota; Alphaproteobacteria; Caulobacterales; Caulobacteraceae.